This 252-nucleotide ribosomal RNA is filed under the name uncultured bacterium. Its description in RNAcentral is "partial 16S ribosomal RNA". It matches the Rfam family "Bacterial small subunit ribosomal RNA", at positions 524 to 776 of the family's 1533-position model. The record is from RNAcentral.
GACGUAGGGGGCCAGCGUUGCUCGGAAUUACUGGGUGUAAAGGGUUCGUAGGCGGUGUGGCAAGUCGGGAGUGAAAUCGUCUGGGCUCAACCCAGAGUCUGCUUCCGAAACUGCUGUGCUUGAGUGUGGGAGAGGCGCGUGGAAUUGCAGGUGUAGCGGUGAAAUGCGUAGAUAUCGCAGGAGCACCGUGGCGAAAGCGGCGCGCUGGACCACUACUGACGCUGAGGAACGAAAGCUAGGGGAGCAAACAGG